Molecule: ribosomal RNA, 460 nt
Filed under: uncultured bacterium
Lineage: Bacteria
Description: partial 16S ribosomal RNA
Rfam family: Bacterial small subunit ribosomal RNA
Source: RNAcentral
CCUACGGGAGGCAGCAGUGAGGAAUAUUGGUCAAUGGGCGCGAGCCUGAACCAGCCAAGUAGCGUGAAGGAUGACUGCCCUACGGGUUGUAAACUUCUUUUAUAAAGGAAUAAACUGAGGCACGUGUGCCUUUUUGUAUGUACUUUAUGAAUAAGGAUCGGCUAAUUCCGUGCCAGCAGCCGCGGUAAUACGGAGGAUCCGAGCGUUAUCCGGAUUUAUUGGGUUUAAAGGGAGCGUAGAUGGGUUUUUAAGUGAGUUGUGAAAGGUUGCGGCUCAACCGUAGAAUUGCAGUGGAUACUGGCGGGCUUGAGUGCGCUUGAGGUAGGCGGAAUUCGUGGUGUAGCGGUGAAAUGCUUAGAUAUCACGAAGAACUCCGAUUGCGAAGGCAGCUUACUGAACUGUCACUGACGUUGAUGCUCGAAGGUGUGGGUAUCGAACAGGAUUAGAUACCCUUGUAGUC